RNAcentral lists this RNase P RNA (339 nucleotides) under Rubrivivax sp. SCN 71-131. RNAcentral's name for it is "RNase P RNA component class A". It matches the Rfam family "Bacterial RNase P class A". Rfam says of the family: Ribonuclease P (RNase P) is a ubiquitous endoribonuclease, found in archaea, bacteria and eukarya as well as chloroplasts and mitochondria. Its best characterised activity is the generation of mature 5'-ends of tRNAs by cleaving the 5'-leader elements of precursor-tRNAs. The record is from RNAcentral. Lineage: Bacteria; Pseudomonadati; Pseudomonadota; Betaproteobacteria; Burkholderiales; Sphaerotilaceae.
GAAGUCGGCCAGACCGCCGCUGGCACAGGUCCCGAAAGGGCGUGCUGGAGGAAGGUCCGGACUGCACAGGGCAGCGCAGGAGCUAACGGCUCUCCACCGCGAGGUGAGGAUCAGAGCAACAGAGACGAGUCCGCUUGGGGCAACCCGAGCGGGGUGCAACGGGCAAUCUCUGCGCGCAGCAACACCAAGUAGGCACACGACGACGCGGCCCGCGGAGUGUGCGGGUAGGUGGCACCGAGCCGCGGUGGCGACACCCGGCCCAGAGGAAUGGCGGUCAUGGCGGGCUCUGCUUCGGGAGAGGCCGCCACACAGAAUCCGGCCUAUCGGCCGACUUCACCU